AAACAAAAUCUCAAAACGUAAUUAAAACGUCCAUCUAAGAAUAGCAUUGAAGUUGGGUAUUUUAUUUUGAGUUUAAUUUCAUAUACAAAGCGGUGUCUCCACCCACUGUUUAUUUCAGGUGAGGUCGUUUUGUUUUCUUAAAAGUGAGAGACCUUGAUUAUCAGGCUUCCAGUAAGUCAUUCUUGUUCACGUUGUAUAAUAAGCAGGGGUACCUUCUCAAAAAGCUGUUGACGAGAACGCCAUAUAAACAUGACAUUCUUUACAUCACAGUUCGUCGUUUUUUGUUACCAGAAUGAUACAAUAGAAGUGACAAGGAUAGGUAUUGACCAGAACUGCCAACGUUCCACACGAAAACAAAAUCUCAAAACGUAAUUAAAAAGUCCAUCUGAGAAUAGCAUUGAAGUUGUUUAUUUUAUUUUGAGUUUGAUUUGAUAUACAAAACGGUGUCUCCACCCACUGUUUAUUUCAGGUAAGGUCGUUUUGUUUUCUUAAAAGUGCGAGACCUUGAUUAUCAGGCUUCCAGUAAGUCAUUCUUGUUCACGUUGUAUAAUAAGCAUGGGUACCUUCCCGAAAAGCUGUUGACGAGAACGCCAUAUAAACAUGACUUUCUUUACAUCACAGUUCGUCGUUUUUUGUUACCAGAAUGAUACAAUAGAAGUGACAAGAAUAGGUAUUGACCAGGACUGCCAACGUUUCACACGAAAACAAAAUCUCAAAAGGAUAUUAAAAAGUCCAUCCAAGAAUAGCAUUGAAGUUGGGUAUUUUAUUUUGAAUUUAAUUUCAUAUACAAAACCAUGUCUCCACCCACUGUUUAUUUCAGGUAAGGUCGUUUUGUUUUCUUAAAAGUGAGAGACCUUGAUUAUCAGGCUUCCAGUAAGUCAUUCUUGUUCACGUUGUAUAAUAAGCUUGGGUACCUUCCCAAAAAAACUGUUGACGAGAACGCCAUAUAAACAUGACAUUCUUUACAUCACAGUUCGUCGUUUUUUGUUACCAGAAUGAUACAAUAGAAGUGACAAGAAUAGGUAUUGGCCAGGACUGCCAACGUACCACACGAAAACAAAAUCUCAAAACGUAAUUAAAAAGUCCAUCUGAGAAUAGCAUUGAAGUUGGGUAUUUUAUUUUGAGUUUAAUUUGAUAUACAAAACGGUGUCUCCACCCACUGUUUAUUUCAGGUAAGGUCGUUUUGUUUUCUUAAAAGUGAGAGACCUUGAUUAUCAGGCUUCCAGUAAGUCAUUCUUGUUCACGUUGUAUAAUAAGCAUGGGUACCUUCCCGAAAAGCUGUUGACGAGAACGCCAUAUAAACAUGACUUUCUUUACAUCACAGUUCGUCGUUUUUGUGACGUGUGCAUCAGCGACAAUGCGUGAGUAAAAGAGAGUCCUAUACAAAACCAUCCUCAAAUGCUCAUCCCUAGGAUGCUGGAACCCACAAAUUCACAUCUGACAACAGCCUUGGACCCCAGUUAAGGACUACCAUGGGCCCACUGUAUCAAGUUAAGCUGGAGCAAGAUCACCGCAGACCUUCGCACUGCUACCCCUUGAUGACAUCGGCCUGAAAGUCAUUUUCACGAUCUUGGAAUUGAACCACUUCCUAAAGAAAGUUCAAACUCAAAAGAAACCUAGCAAUGGCAAAACAGAAACGCAAUGUUUUUGGAGUUAAAACGACUCUGAAACUAACAGUGAUAGAAAAAAAAAAGGAGAAGACGGCCCACCCUUGUCCAGCGUGAAUCGUCCCCGGCUACACUCCAACAAAAUAACAGAAUACACCAGAAACCUCGUAAAACUGGCGGAGAACCCACUGGGUAUACUGUUGGCCAAAGAAAGUCUUCUUCAAAGGAAUUGACAAAAUAUAAAUCAAACCGGACACCCUCCAUGAAAGUAAAGAAAAGGACACGUCAUCAGUUCAAUAACAAGAAAAAGCGAAAGAAAGAGAAAAAACUUUGGGAAGCUAAAAAAGAAAUACUAAAAAUAGAAAAACAGAGAAGAGAAGAAAGAACACAGCGGAAGCAAUCCCAGUUUUAUAUUGUACUAAAAGGAAUUGGUUUUUACCAUGAACUAAAAGGACAUUGCGUAUGGCAAAUUGAGUACAGAUAUAUUCAUGGGAAUAUCGAUAAAUAUAAUUUACAAGUUGUUUCAGAAGUAGUUUAAAUGCAUUCAAGAUAAUUUUCAAGAGCUUAAGAGUCAAGUUUAUGUAUAUAUAUUUUUGAAGAGAAAGAUACGAAUAUGUAUGAUGACAAGCAAGUUAUGUAUAGAAUAAAAUUACGAAUUUAUAUGCUCAUUGUGGCAAAACAUUUAGUCGAAUUAUCAUGCUUUUUCAAAAUUGGAUGACUGAUAUUUCAACUCGAGGCAAGAGUUUUCUCAAAGGAAGGACGGCUGUUAUAAAGGAAUUUUUUGUCUAUACAAAAGUCGUUUCUGACAGGUCAGUAAAUCUAUCCCCCAACACCAAAACAGAAAAAACAAACUCGCAACAAUACACCUUUCUGGUGUAGAGAAUUAAAGUUUAGUAUUCCCCGAGAGAUGGCUUGUUUUUAUUUUCAUUAUAAUAACCUCUCUCUCAAGUAUCAUAUACUUCAAUAAUCCUUUUACUCAUACCGCAAACAUCCUUGCAAGACAUCUUGCAGUGCAUCACCAGGCCGCCCUUCAAUCAAGCAUAGAAAGUUUACAAGCUUUUUUUCUCCAUAUAAGAAGGUGUUGAGAUGCAAGUUACCAUUUUACUUUUUUGUAAAGAAUAGUGACAUUGAUGUGAAGUAUUUUGAAAGUUACCUAGCUGUAGCAACGCCUUGGACACAUGAACUAGAUUGUGUUUGUGGGACUUUUGAGAUAUUGCUUCAAUUGGGUAUACUAUACUCGUAAGAUGGCAACCGACACAGCUGUGUUGUGACGUCACGACUUUUGGGAUCUUGCUUCGAUUGAAUAUAUUAUACAGUUGAAGCUCUCUUAAGCGACCACCUUGGGAACUGAGAAUUGUGGUCGUUAACGGAGCUGGUCUUUUACGAGAGCUUGCUCUCAUAAGCGACCACUGGGCGCCAAAAACUUGAACAAUAGGUGUUGGUCGCUUACGGGAGCUUAAUUAAAAUGCUGGAAUCUAAACGUCACCGUGAUAAUAACGCUGUAAUAUUUUGGUUUAUUGCUUGAUUUUAAGACAAGGUAUUUGACUUAUCA
Nematostella vectensis (starlet sea anemone) is the source of this 3159-nucleotide long non-coding RNA. RefSeq lists it as uncharacterized. NCBI's taxonomy places the organism in Eukaryota, Metazoa, Cnidaria, Anthozoa, Actiniaria, Edwardsiidae. The transcript has 2 exons. The record is from RefSeq and is a predicted model, not a curated record.